UUCGAUGGUAGGAUAGAGGCCUACCAUGGUUUUAACGGGUAACGGGGAAUUAGGGUUCGAUUCCGGAGAGGGAGCCUGAGAAACGGCUACCACAUCCAAGGAAGGCAGCAGGCGCGCAAAUUACCCAAUCCCAAUACGGGGAGGUAGUGACAAUAAAUAACAAUAUGGGGCUCUUACGGGUCUCGUAAUUGGAAUGAGUACAAUUUAAAUCUCUUAACGAGGAACAAUUGGAGGGCAAGUCUGGUGCCAGCAGCCGCGGUAAUUCCAGCUCCAAUAGCGUAUAUUAAAGUUGUUGCAGUUAAAAAGCUCGUAGUUGAAUUUCGGGAUCUGUCCAUUGGUCGGGCUUCACGGUCCGCACUGGUGUGAUGGGUUCCUACCUUCUGAAUAACCAGCAUGCCAUUCAGUUGGUGCGUUGGGGAAGCAGAGCUAUUACCUUGAAAAAAUUAGAGUGCUUAAAGCAGGCUAGUGCUUGAAUAGAUUAGCAUGGAAUAAUAAAAUAGGACGGCAUGGUUCUAUUUUGUUGGUUUCUAGGAUCACCGUAAUGAUUAAUAGGGAUAGUUGGGGGCAUUAGUAUUCAAUUGUCAGAGGUGAAAUUCUUGGAUUUAUUGAAGACUAACUUCUGCGAAAGCAUUUGCCAAGGAUGUUUUCAUUAAUCAAGAACGAAAGUUAGGGGAUCGAAGACGAUCAGAUACCGUCGUAGUCUUAACCAUAAACUAUGCCGACUAGGGAUCGGACGAUGUUAAUUUUUUAAUGACUCGUUCGGCGCCUUACGGGAAACCAAAGG
This 784-nucleotide ribosomal RNA is filed under the name Acaulospora spinosa. Its description in RNAcentral is "SSU rRNA". It matches the Rfam family "Eukaryotic small subunit ribosomal RNA", at positions 321 to 1104 of the family's 1831-position model. The record is from RNAcentral. Lineage: Eukaryota; Fungi; Glomeromycota; Glomeromycetes; Diversisporales; Acaulosporaceae.